ACGGUUAGCUGACGUGACGGAGAUCAUUACCGAGUGUAGGGUUCCUAGCGAGCCCAACCUCCCACCCGUGUUUACUGUACCUUAGUUGCUUCGGCGGGCCCGCCAUUCAUGGCCGCCGGGGGCUCUCAGCCCCGGGCCCGCGCCCGCCGGAGACACCACGAACUCUGUCUGAUCUAGUGAAGUCUGAGUUGAUUGUAUCGCAAUCAGUUAAAACUUUCAACAAUGGAUCUCUUGGUUCCGGCAUCGAUGAAGAACGCAGCGAAAUGCGAUAACUAGUGUGAAUUGCAGAAUUCCGUGAAUCAUCGAGUCUUUGAACGCACAUUGCGCCCCCUGGUAUUCCGGGGGGCAUGCCUGUCCGAGCGUCAUUGCUGCCCAUCAAGCACGGCUUGUGUGUUGGGUCGUCGUCCCCUCUCCGGGGGGGACGGGCCCCAAAGGCAGCGGCGGCACCGCGUCCGAUCCUCGAGCGUAUGGGGCUUUGUCACCCGCUCUGUAGGCCCGGCCGGCGCUUGCCGAACGCAAAUCAAUCUUUUUCCAGGUUGACCUCGGAUCAGGUAGGGAUACCCGCUGAACUUAAGCAUAUCAAA
This 584-nucleotide ribosomal RNA is filed under the name uncultured fungus. Its description in RNAcentral is "eukaryotic LSU rRNA". The stretch from base 212 to 365 matches the Rfam family "5.8S ribosomal RNA". Lineage: Eukaryota; Fungi. The record is from RNAcentral.